UUGGACACCAGUGGCUGGACACCAGUGGAUGGACAGCAGACGUAAUUUCCGUAUAGUCAUUCACUUUUCAAAUUGACGUCAUUUCCAUAUCGUCAUUCACUUUUCAAAUUGACGUUAUUUCCAUAUCGUCAUUCACUUUUCAAAUUGACGUCAUUUCUGUAUCGUCAUUCACUUUUCAAUUUUGAUGCGCCAUGCAGAUGUCAGCAGUAAAAAAAUAAUAAUAAACUGUCGAUGAUUUAUACGUCAUGUCAGAAUUCAAAUGCACAAACUAGCUGGUUAAAAAAAUCGUCUUGUUUUCAAGGUACUGUGUUGUGUUUUUUUAAAGGUAUUAGUGAACUCUGGUGUGCCUCAAUUCUAGAGCUGGUGUAAUCCAGGUCAAAAUUGAGCUGAUCAGAAAAAUAAAUAUAAUUUAUAAUAAUUAUAUUCUUACUCAAAAUGUUUAAACAAGAAACAAGAUGUGUUGCAAAAGUCGUUCUGCUGUAUGUUGAACAUUAAAACAAUUAAUUUUACUAUAAUAAUUAAAGCGUGACGUUUGCCAUAAGGCGGGCGCUGUGCAUGACGUCACUGUAAUGAGACGCAUGGUUGCAGAGAGAGCACGAGUUUCACAGAUCGCGAGUGAAUUCAAACUGGAUCAAAAGGCAAAUAUAACAAUCAUCCUUGCUUAAUAUACAUAAAUAAUAAGUUGUAUGUUGUUGUAAUCCUUAUAUUAAUCUUAUUUGGGCCAUUUUAGUGUGAUGAUUAAUUGAUUUUGGAGUGGAUGAUAGCCGAUUGCGAGCCCUGUAGAAUCCGAUGUGACUGAUUAAUUGUUUAGUGAAAUCCCCCGGAUUUGGUGAGUUUCAUGAUAAUAUAAUAUCCAAUUAUCUGAAAUGAAGUGUUAAUGAGUUAAUUCACGUUCUGAAGUGUUUUAUAUGGGUUUAUAUGCAUUUAGUGUUCAGAUGGUAUGUGUAAUGUGAUGUAAUUGAAUGUAUUGUAUUGCUGAAGACCUUACAAAUGCUAAGUAAGCAGAGUUAUAUCAUUUAUGAGAAUGAUUUAUGCUUUUAGUAACAAAAGUGCUCAAAUAGUAUUUUCCACUUGGUUUAGUUAAUAUAUGAAAUAUAUAUUGAGUUUAAAAGUCAUACUAAUUGUCUAUGAUGUUUAUGAUGGUUAUGGCGCUGUUUGUAUAAACAGGUCAGGUUUUUUUGAGAUUGCGAAAUAAGCUGUGAUCCUGAGAUGGCGAGCCACCCAGCUGAAAAGUCCUAAAAGAGACAAGAAAUCCUGUGAUUCAUUGAGUGAUCAGUGCCUUAUCUGACGUAACAAGUGGAAUUCAUCCUAAGUGGCAAAUCACAUUAGUGUGCGUAAAGGGACGGAGCUACCACCAAUACAGAAAUGCACAGAGUGCUGCAAGCCGGUAUCACUGCCCGCUGUGCAAUUCAAACACUGUGGGGUACUGUGGAAACGGAAGACGUGGAGACCUGCGAGGGUUUUAUACAGACCCUGAAUUUCCUGAGCAUUGCCCAGACUGCCAGUUUUAGGGGCAUGAAUGAGGUGUGGUGUGCACAGUGUGCAAUAGUUUAUUUGGAACUGUUCAUGUUUUAUUUUCUUUUGAAAUAGGGACUUCCCCCACAACCUUACGGGCCUGACUGUGGCAUCUUCAUUCUGAUGGUCAGAUUUGACAAAUUUUACUAAUUAGAUUGUGUAAUUUCCAAUAAAUAUUGCAAAACCAUGAAGUGUUUAUUUGAUCUGGAUUGUUUGGUAAAUUGUCUGAUCAUGUGAAUCUACAUAUAUUUUAAAAACAGAAGUGGUUACAUUUACAAAAAAAAA
Molecule: long non-coding RNA, 1800 nt
Organism: Carassius auratus (goldfish)
Lineage: Eukaryota; Metazoa; Chordata; Actinopteri; Cypriniformes; Cyprinidae
Exons: 2
Source: RefSeq, a predicted model, not a curated record